RNAcentral lists this ribosomal RNA (2022 nucleotides) under human gut metagenome. RNAcentral describes it as "bacterial LSU rRNA". It matches the Rfam family "Bacterial large subunit ribosomal RNA", at positions 1033 to 2925 of the family's 2925-position model. The record is from RNAcentral.
CGUCGUCUAAGGUCCCGAAGCGUGUGCUAAGUGGGAAAGGAUGUGGAGUCGCAUAGACAGCCAGGAGGUUGGCUCAGAAGCAGCCAUCCUUGAAAGAGUGCGUAACAGCUCACUGGUCUAGUGGUUCCGCGCCGACAAUGUAGCGGGGCUCAAGCACACCACCGAAGACGCGGCAGCGGCCUUUGCGGCCGUUGGGUAGGAGAGCGUCCCGCGUGGGGCGAAGCGGCCGGGGAACCGUGCCGUGGACCGCGCGGGAGUGAGAAUGCAGACAUGAGUAGCGAGAGACGGGUGAGGAUCCCGUCCGCUGGAUGACCAAGGGUUCCGGGGCCACGUUCGUCGUCCCCGGGUGAGUCGGGUCCUAAGGCGAGGCCGACAGGCGUAGUCGAAUGGAUGAACGGGUGGAUAUUCCCGUACCGGCGGCGUACCGUAAGAGCCGAACGGAUGAGUACUAACCUCCGGUCGCGUGGCGUCGUUCCCUUCGGGGUUCGGGGUCCGCGGUCGUUGGGAGCGUAGUCCUGGUAGGCUAGCGCACAGGGGUGACACGGAAUGGGAGCCGGCCGCGGAGGUGGUUUUCCGUGGUCAAGCACGCAGCCCGUCCCAUAGGCAAAUCCGUGGGACGCAUAGGGUGAGGUGUGAUGAUGGGCGUCCUUUGGACGCGAUAUCCGGUGGUCCAGGCCGUCGAGAAAAGCCUCGGCGCGAGGGGCGUCGCCGCCCGUACCCCAAACCGACACUGGUGGUCAGGUAGAGAAUACCAAGGCGAUCGAGCGAAUCCUGGUCAAGGAACUCGGCAAAUCACUCCCGUGCCUUCGGUAUAAGGGAGACCCCCGGGCGUGAAGAGGCUUGCCCUCGGAGCGUUGGGGGGUGGCACAGACCAGGGGGUAGCGACUGUUUACCAAAAACACAGGUGCAUGCGAAGGCGCAAGCCGCUGUAUAUGCACUGACGCCUGCCCGGUGCCGGAAGGUUAAGAGGAUCCGUCAGCCCCUUUUGGGGUGAAGCGGUGAAUUCAAGCCCCGGUAAACGGCGGUGGUAACUAUAACCAUCCUAAGGUAGCGAAAUUCCUUGUCGGGUAAGUUCCGACCUGCACGAAUGGCGUAACGACUUCCCCACUGUCUCGACCAGGAGCUCGGCGAAAUUGCAGUACGAGUAAAGAUGCUCGUUAAGCGCAGAAGGACGAAAAGACCCCGGGACCUUUACUAUACCUUGGUAUUGGCGUUAGGCGCGGAUUGUGUAGCAUAGGCGGGAGGCUUCGAAGCAUGGGCGCCAGCCCGUGUGGAGCCGCAAGGUGAAAUACCGCUCUGUUCUCGUUUGACGUCUCACCUCGAACAGUCAUCCUGUUCAGGGACAGUGCCUGGCGGGUAGUUUAACUGGGGCGGUUGCCUCCCAAAGAGUAACGGAGGCGCUCAAAGGUCCGCUCAGCCCGGUUGGCAAUCGGGUUUCGAGUGUAAUCGCACAAGCGGGCUUGACUGCGAGAACGACGGUUCGGGCAGGGACGAAAGUCGGAGAUAGUGAUCCGGUGCCGGCGCACGGGCGCGGCAUCGCUCAACGGAUAAAAGGUACCCCGGGGAUAACAGGCUGAUCAUUCCCAAGAGUCCAUAUCGACGGGAUGGUUUGGCACCUCGAUGUCGGCUCGUCGCAUCCUGGGGCUGGAGCAGGUCCCAAGGGUUCGGCUGUUCGCCGAUUAAAGCGGCACGCGAGCUGGGUUCAGAACGUCGUGAGACAGUUUGGUCUCUAUCCUCUGCGCUCGUUGGAAUCCUGAGGAGGCCUGCCCAUAGUACGAGAGGACCUGGGUGGACGGACCUCUGGUAUGCCGGUUGUCGCGCCAGCGGCAUGGCCGGUUGGCUACGUUCGGGAGGGAUAACCGCUGAAAGCAUCUAAGCGGGAAGCCUGCUCCAAGAUUAGGAUUCCUUGACGCUCCCCGGAGCGCCUGUAGCCCGCAUGUUGAACACGUGUUCGAUAGGCCGGAGGUGGAAGCCCCGCGAGGGGUGGAGCCGACCGGUACUAACGGGCGAACGCGGCACACU